RNAcentral lists this long non-coding RNA (733 nucleotides) under Androctonus crassicauda. Lineage: Eukaryota; Metazoa; Arthropoda; Arachnida; Scorpiones; Buthidae. The record is from RNAcentral.
AACAGAUAGAAAAUGCUUUGUUUCGGACAUUUUUCGGAGCAACGCAAAUGGUCAGCAGCUGUAGAGACAGCUGCCAAGGCAGAUGGAACUAUUUCAUGUAAUAUAUAUUAUAUUUAUACAUACAAGUUAUAUCCACACGAGGGAUGGAAUCCGCUACAGUUUCUCAUUAUCAGAUAUUAUUCAAUAUUUGAUUCCGAAUGUCCUCGAAUAGAGAAAACACGAGAAAACUUUUUCUACUUUACAUAAAGGAGGAACGUACAUCUCGUUCUCACGAUAUUUCCUUCACGGUGACAUCUUUCAGAACGCACAUUAUAUAAAAUAGAUGUCGAAGAUGAAGUCGAUUGAUUAGAUGACGAUACCAUGGAAAUUCUAUUGGUGGUAUGAUUAGAUAGAGAAUGGGAUGAUUGCUUAUGGUCAGGCUGAAUAGAAUUCAUAUGGAUCAGAUUCAUCAUCCCUUCUGUAGAAGCCCCGGUAUAGCACGGUGGAGAAGGUGGGAUAAGACAGGGCCACAGGGCAAGAUGGUGUACAUAUGAUUUCUCUGAAAUAGUUAUCACCACCUAAAAAAUAUUUUGUCGACUUCUUACGUGGACCCUUAGGAAUUAUUGGAAAGAACGCCGACAUUUUCGUAACUGUUGUUUUCGGGCUACAGGAGGAGAAAGGAUUUUCUCUGUUGUUUGAAUGGCUUGAUCUUAUUUUAGAAGAAAUUGGAAUGUAUGACAAGACCAUGGUUCGA